AACUUUUUAUGACUGAAAUCACACUUAUAUUUAGUAUCCCCCUUGUUGAUGUUUCCCAUAUAUGAUGGGAUGCAUGAUAGCAGGAGGGAACAUUUUUGACCAUCUCUACUACUCACACUCACUGAUGGAAUCAUUUGUAAGCUACUCUGGAUCUAACACUUCAAGCAGCAACAACAGACAUUUCAAUCAAUUGAUAUUUUCUGUGAAAAAUCAAUAGGAAAAAACAUCCUCUUUUCACAAGAAGGUGAAAAUUACUUAGUGCAUUGUAGCUCAAACUGGAUUAUAAACCUGUAGAAAAAUGUUCAAAAUAUGAAACGUAUUUGUUAAAACGUCCCCUGACAGACUCUUCAACAAGGCAAAUGAAAUCAUAAAAAUAUGUUUUGAAUGAACCAGAUUGAGAGUAAGACCUGGAGACUUUGUUUGGCCCUGGAUUUUAAUCUGUCUUUCCAUAAUUGAGUUUUGAGUUUGAGUUUUGUCUUCAUUGUGCUCUGUCAAACACAAAGGGAAUCUACAGUUUCACAUCACAUGGAGGGACCACUGCACUGGCCUACCAGACACAGGCCCAGGAGCCCAUGGGGUCAGAGCCACAGCUUGGUCUAACUGUUGUGAACGUUUCUUGUUCGAAAGUUAAAGGGCUCAGUCAAAACUCUGUCUUUUUCCUCAGGCUCACUCCAUCUUUUUGAACUCCCCUUUCUCUCUGUGGUAACAGUCCCAGGGGGUCAGUUAUUGACUGAUGCUGUACCACAAUCACAAAACAGAACAGACAGCAACCUACGCUGCCUUGAUCACAACAUCAAGAGAGACAUCUUGAAGCAUCUUCGCUGACAGCUUAUGAUCGUCUGACUUCAAAAUCCCACUGUGGGUAGUGUCUACCCACAGUGUUUCUAAAAGGAACAGGAGGAAACAGUUUUUAGUUCCUAACUCUUGAAAUGUGAAACCAAAUAAAGCUUAUUUGGACGUAAAAGCUUAUAUAAACACUCUCUCAGCCCACACGUGCAGACUUGUGAAUGGAACGGCUCACAAUGUGGGGAGAGAUAGAAUACAUGAUUGGCUGGUAGAAUUCUGAGCAUAGUUUUCGAUUUCAUGUGGGAAAUGGAAAUAAAAACAACCAAGAACAGACCUCUCUCAAGAGGAAGUUUGUGUACUUUUAGAUGUGUUCUACAUAAUUCAUUUGCAAUGCAGGACAACAUCAAUUAUGCACA
Molecule: long non-coding RNA, 1202 nt
Organism: Thunnus maccoyii (southern bluefin tuna)
Lineage: Eukaryota; Metazoa; Chordata; Actinopteri; Scombriformes; Scombridae
Exons: 2
Source: RefSeq, a predicted model, not a curated record